Serinus canaria (Common canary) is the source of this 1081-nucleotide long non-coding RNA. RefSeq lists it as uncharacterized. The record is from RefSeq and is a predicted model, not a curated record. Lineage: Eukaryota; Metazoa; Chordata; Aves; Passeriformes; Fringillidae. The transcript is spliced from 4 exons.
CGUGGGUCCUGGGCUGAGCUGAGAUUGCGGAUGGGGUUUCUUUCCUUUCCUUUUCUGAUUUCUUUUUUUUCUUUUUUUUUUUCGAGGGCUUUGCUGUAAAUCAACCCAAACUCCCUAGAGAGCAUCGUCUCUGUACCGCAGUGGUAGCCCCUCCUUCAGCUGGGCAUGAGGACAGGAAUGAAGCCAGCCACAGUGUGGGAGAGCAGCAUCCCCAUGGGACUGCCACCUCCCAGGAGUUAUGUCAUGGGGCAGGAGGUCAGGAUGUGGCUACCCCAUCCCAAACUGCAGCUUGGAGCCAAGAGAGAUCCAUUUCGGAGCUCUGCUCACUCAACUCAGGAGUUCAGCCACCUCCUACUGCAGCGUGGCAGGAGUUAUUCAAAGGCAGGCGGAAGCGAGCACAGCAACUGAAACAACAAUGAAAAGGAAACAGAGCUCGAAAAAUUCUCCGUUCAUAAAUCAACUGAACUGCAGGUGAUCCCUGGGCAGGAGCGAGCUGAGGAAGAGACACGGCUUGGCUCGGCAUGGCCAGCAGCCAGGCAGGCUCCAGCCCCCCAGGCAGGGAUGGGGGAGGCCGGGAUUUCCCAGGGUGGUCCUGAGUGAUGCUGGGGUCGGUGUCCAUGUCCCCAGGGCUGCACAUCAGGGACUUUGAGGCAGGAAAUAGAGCUGCUGGAUUGGGACGAGCUCCUCAGUGCUGGCAGCAUCUCUGCACGGGCAGGGGAUGGGCAUGGUUGGAAAAAAUCUCUCCCUCCUGCUUCCAGUUGUGUCCUGCAGCAUCUUGCUGCAGGCAGGAUAGUGGCCAGUUUGGACAAACCUAGCUGUCCCCUCCUAGCUGUCCCCUUUGCCAGCUCCUGUAAGCUGAGACCCAGUCCUGGGGACACCAAAAGGAACUUGUGCUUUUGGGACCAGUGUAUGGCCCCAAGGACCAGGCUGGUGGCAAUGGGCUGACCUUACAGCAGAGGAAAUGACCCAGUCAUGUUCCCCACAGUGGGAAAGCCAGGAGAGAUUGCAUGUCCCCCUCUGCUGCUAUCUGUUCUCCAUCCUGUGAAUUCACUGUCAUCUUGUCUUUUGGCAGAGCUGCAAA